CAAGAGACCUUGGGUGCUGUUGGUGUGGAGUUUGCAGGUUAUCCCUGUGUCCGCAUGGAUUUCAUGCUGAAGUUCGAGUUUCCUCCCACUUCUGAACAAUCUGCAGGUUGGGCAUUGUCAAUUUUCCAGAGUGUGUACACAAUUGUUAGAAUCUGUGGAUAGCUGAUGAUGAUAUGGGGAGAAUAAAAGAGGUGCAGGAAGCUCCGCGCAACUGUACCGCCCUUUUGACUGGUUAGCAUGCCGGCCAAACUACGUUUUCCACUGUAUCUCCGUGUGCGUGACAAUAAUAAGCCGAUCCCAAUACAUCUAAAAGGUGCAGUUCAAAGGGUGUUUAAAGAAAGCGAGUGAGUGAGAGCUUUGGAAGGGAUUUCCAGGCCAUAGCAACCAGACAAGGCCAAGGAUUUGCAGAAUCCUCGAGACGCUUGCACAGUGGUGCAGCGGUCGAGUUGCAGAGAUCAGGGUUCAUUCCUGACUACAGGUGCUGUCUGUACGGAAUUUGUACUUCUCUCUGUGACAUCGUUGGGUUUUCUCUGGGUACUCCGGUUUCCUCCCACGUUGCACAGAUGUGCAGGUUGGAAGGUUAAUUGACCUGUAAAAAUUGUCCCUAGUGUGUAGGGUGUGGACUUGGUGGGCCUAGGGGUCUGUUUCCAUGCUGCCUCUCCGAGGUCAGAGUUGGUCAAACAUUGAUUCUCAGAAUGUAGGUGAACAUUCUUGUCUGUAUCAUUUGGUACCAGUCUGAUAAAUAUUCAGAGUGACUAGAUUAACAGUAUGUAAGUACCCAGGAGAGUUGUUUUAGUUUUAGAGAUACAGGCUCUCCGGCCCACCGGGUCGACAUAAACCAGCAACCACCCAGAUCAAUAUCAAUGAAUAUUGGUAUCUCUAACUUCCAGUAACCCUUGCAUCUCUUCCCUCUCCGUCACUCCCCCACCAAAAUCGUUGUACUAGCUUUAAAGUCAUCUUGUUGAAUCUCAUUGGCUGUAACUGGUUUUCACCAAGCCCACAGCUAACAAUGGCCUGUUUCCAUCAUUGCUACUUUUGCAUAUAUUUCAUUCAUUUGUUCUAUAUCUCUCCAUAUUACCGUCUAUAUCUCUUGUUUCCCUUUUUCCUGACUCUCAGUCUGAAGAAGGUCUCGAACCAAAAUGCCACCACCUAUUCUCCAGAGAUGCUGCCUGACCCGUUGAGUUACUCUGGCUUUUUGUGUCGACCUCAUGUACACUAGUUCUGUAUUAUCCCACUCUGGCAUCCACUCCUGACACACUAGGAGCAAGUUACAGAAGCCAACUAGCCUACAAACCCACACGUCUUUGGGAAGUGGGAGGAAACCGGAGCACCCGGAGAAACCCACGUGGUCACAGGGAGAACGUACAAACUAUGGACAGACAGCACCCAUAGUCAGGCUCGAACCCGGAGCUCUGCUGCCAUGAGGCAGUAACUCUACCAUUGCGCCACCAUGCUACCCCAUUUUCUCAAGUGCCCUGUAUGGUUCUCGAUCUUUCACACACCAGCCGAACCCCUAAAUUUUAGUUUAUUUUUGCACAUGUUUCCAAAGUGGAUUCAGUCCGACGGCAGAUAUAUAAUUCAGUUUAUUUUGAAGGCCAGCUGAUAAAAGAAUCUUGUAUUGAAUGAUUUCUCCCUACAAGCACCCGGAAUAGAUUAAAAAAAAAAUCUGAUUUACUUUUUUUCUCUCUGACUUUCUUCUUUUCAUCUUUGAUUCUCGCCCCACAUCAUUAACAUUUGAAAGCGGUGUUGUGACAGAUAGGUUCCCACCUUAUCUCUGCUGAAUGUGAUGGAGCCUAUCUCUUUCUGUGUAUCUUGAUUUGGUGGUAUUGAUGUAUCAUCCUUGGUGGCUUCCGGGUAUUCAACUCACAGGCAGAGGCUCAGGAUGUCAACUCAGAGCAACACGGUGGCGCAGGUGUAGAGUUGCUGCCUUACAGCGUCAGAGACCCAGGUUUAAUCCUAAGUCUGGGUGCUCUCUGUAUGGAGUUUGUACGUUCUUGUGUUGAGCGUGUGGGUUUUCUCCAGGUGCUCUGGUUGCCUUCCACACUAAAGACGCACAGGUUUGUAGGUUAAUUGGCUUUGGUAAAGAUUGUAAAUUGUAUCUAGUGUGUAGGUUUGUCCUAGUGUAUGGGGUUUGCUGGUCGGUGAGGACGGUGGGCCGAAGGGCAUGUUUCCACGCUGUGUCUCUAAACAAAUAAAAAGGGGAGGCAGGGGCUGUUACGGCCAACUUAUAAUUUCCUAACGGGAAAGUGAUGGGCGUUAGAAUUAUCAUCUGGUUUGGCACACGUGGACUGCGGCAAUCUUUGCCUAGCAUAAAAGCAGCUGACAUAUAGAAACAAGGAACUGCAGGUGCUAGCUUACGUAAAAUGUAUAUUAGCAUAUAAAAUCAGGGAUAUAAUGCUGAGGCUUUAUAAAUGGCUGGUCAGAUUCCGUUUGGAGUAUUGUGAGCAGUUUUGGGCCCCAUGUGUAAGGAAGGAUGUGCUGGCAUUGGAGUGGGUCCAGAGGAGGUUUACGAGAAUGAUCCUGGGUAUGAGGAGUGUUUGACAGCACUGGACCUGUACUCGUUGGAGUUUAAAAGGAUGUUUGAUUGAAACUUACCGAUUGGUGAAAGGCCUGGACAGAGUGGAUGUGGAGAGGAUGUUUCCAGUAGUGGGAGAGUCAACGUCCAGUGGGCAUAGCCUCAGAAUAAAGGGACACACCUUUAGAAAGGAGAUGAGGAGGAAUUUCCUAAGUCAGAGGGGUUCUGUGGAAUUCAUUGCCACAGCUGACUGUAGAGACCAAGUCAAUGGAUAUUUUUAAGGCGGAGAUUGACAGAUUCUUGUUUAGUAAGGGUGUCAGGGGUUAUGGGGAGGAGGCCGGAGGAGAAUGGGAUUGAGAGGGGAAAAUGGAUCAGCCACGACUAAAUGGCGGAAUAGACUUGAUGGGCCGAAUGGGCUAAUUCUGCUCCUAUAACACAUGAACAUGACAUAAUUAGUGGAAGUGAAAAGGCUGGGAAUGUCAUUGGGACGAUUGGUUGUUCAAGGGGGUAACACAGCAGGUUCGAAGUGCGUGUAUCUGCAUGUUUUUUAUAACUAAGACUUCCCAAUCCUUUCUGGAGUGGCAAUGCUGAAUAAGCAGUAAUGAGCUCCAAUCAGUUCGCAUACAUUUCCACAUUACCACAAAAUAGGCCAAUUUCAAUGCCCUCUGUCUUCAACAUUGCUCAUUGUAUAGUGAAUUUGCUUGUUAACAUUCAAUGGGUAACAAUGAAUGGAUGUGUCAAUUAAUUUGCAAGAUUCAUGGUUUCUGCUUCCUUAUAAACGUAAACAUAUUGGGUGCAUGUGUUGCAUCAGAAACAGAUCUUCACAUGUCAAGUCUAAUUGGUGAAGGAACAGAUGCCAAAUCUAAUUGGUGCGGAGAGUCAUAGAGUAUUACAUUGCGGAAACGGGUGAGCUUACCCAUGCCAACCAACAUGCCCCAUAGUCAGGAUACCCCGUCUACACUAGCCCCACCUACCUGUGCCUGGCCCAUAACUCUCUAAAGAUUUAAUAGGAACUUGAGGCAGCAACUUUUCCGCACAAAGGGUGCUAGGUAUAUGGAAUGAGCUGCCAAAGGAUGUAGUUGAGGCAGGUACUAUCAUAGUGUUUAGAAAAUAUUUGGAUAGGUACAUGGAUAUGAUAGGUUUAGAGAGGUAUGUGCCAAAUGCUGGCAGGGGGGGGACUAGUGUUGACGGGGUAUUUUGGUCAGCGUGGACAAAUUGGACCGAAGAGCCUGUCUGAAGAAGGGUAUCGGCCCAAAACAUCACCGAUUCCUCCUCUCCAGAGAUGCUGCCUGUCCCGCUGAGUAACUCCAGCCUUUUGUGUCUAUCUUCGGCCUGCUUCUGGCCCAUAUGACUUUGUGAAAGCGAUCUGGUAAAAUGUAGAAACAAGGAAGGAUCUGCAGAUGCUGGUUUAUACUGAAGAUAGACACAAGGUGCUGGAGUAACUCAGCAUGUCAGGCAGCAUCCAUCUCUGGAAAAAAAGGACGGGUGACGUUUCGGGUCGGGACUUUUUCUCAGACUGAAAAUAGAAGGGCUUUUGAGAAGGGGUCAUCAUUGGGUGGUGAGGAUUCUUUCCCAAGGGAAAAAGCAGAGGCUGUGCCACCGGUAGUUUAGUUCCUCAAUUUAUAUUCUGUACCUCUAUUGAUACGCUUAAAUAUCAGGUAUGCAUUUUUUUUUAUCAAUCUGAUCAACUUGUACUGUUCCUUGCUCCCAUCCACAAGCAAUUCAACACAGGUUAAAGAUCAAAAAUGUCUUCCUCUUGUUUUGGCUUUAUUGUAGCCAAGAUAUCAAGAGAGUGUUACUCAGGCACUUCUAACAGAAGAAUAGCACAGUAAAAAUUGAAUAAGAAUGCACUGUGCAGAACGCUAUCUCUUAGUCGCGAUUCAAUCCCUCAGGGAAAUAAAAUGUAAUAUCUCUCCCUUUUGUUCAUUUUUAUUCUGCAGCAGCACAAUAUGUUGAGAAGGUCUUUUCACCUUUGGGUUCAGUCAGGUAAUAAAAUAAAAUUUCAGCCAGGAAAUCCAAAAGGGAAAAGAGUAAUUCAAAGUCUGAAAAAAUGGUGAGAGCACAUCAGGAGACCAUUCAGUCCGUUCAGGUCUGUGCUGGUUCUGUGCAAGAUUUUAGUUUCUUAGAUUAGUUUAGAGCUCGGAAACAGGCCAUUCGGCCAACCAAGUCUGCACCGACCAGCAAACGCCACACACUAACAUUGUCCUACUACGUACUAGGGAAAACAUACAAUUUUACCUACACCAGUUAACCUACAAACCUGUACAUCUUGUCGAAUGUAUCGAAAGGAUCUGCUGAUGCUGGUUUUCACCGAAGAUAGACAUAAAGUGCUGGAGUGACUCAGCGGGUCGGGCAGCAACUCUGGAGAAAGGGGAUAGGUGAUGUUAAAUUAAAUUAAACCUGUUUGUAAUUAAUUAGUUAAUUGACUAAAAGACAUAGCAUGGAAACAGGCCCUUCGGCCCAUCAUUUACACACUGAGCAUCGAUCACCUAUUCUAUGUUAUCCCAUUUUCCCAUCCACACCCUACACACUAGUGGCAAUUCACAGCGGCAAUUCAUAAACCUGCAAGGUUUUGGGAUGCGGGUACUUCAGUAUCUAUAGUCAACCGAGAAUGUUCUGAGUUUUUUUAAACAAAAUAAUGGCAGUAAAUUAACAAACAGACAAUCGAGACUGGUGCUUCAACGUGUGAAGAAGGAGAGCAACAUUGAAUUGUUUGCAUGGGAUAGGCAAAAUUAAGCAGUGCCCAAUAUCCCAGUGCCACAGGGUUGAAGGUUACAAAGCCAAAAAGCAUGGCAACAGGCCCUUUGGAUCAACAGAGAAAAAUAGGUGCAGUAGUAGGCCAUUCAGCCCUCGAGCCAGCACCACCAUUCAAUAUGAUCAUGGCUGAUCAUAUAACAUUAGUACCCAAUUCCUGCUUUUUUUCCCAUAUCCCUUGAUUCCUUUAGCCCUAAGAACUAAAUCUUUAACUUGAAAACAUCCAGUAAAUUGGCCUCCACUGACGUCUGAAGCAGAGAAUUCCACAAAUUCACAACUCUAUGGGUGAAAAAGUUUUUCCUCAUCUCAGUCCUAAAUAGCCUAUCCCUUAUUCUUAAACGGUGGCCCCUGGUUCUGGACUCCUCCAACAUCGGGAACAUUUUACCGGCAUCUAGCCUGUCCAAUCCUUUAAGAAUUUUAUAUGUUUCGAUAAGAUCCCCUCUCAUCUUUCUAAAUUCCAGUGAAUACAAGCCCACUCGACCCAUUCUUUCAUCAUAUGUCAGUCCCGCCAUCCUGGGAAUUAACCUGGUGAACCUACUCUGCACUCCCUCAAUAGCAAUAAUGUCCUUCCUCAAAUUAGGAAACCAAAAUUGUUCAAGCUGAGCGAAGGACACAGUGCUGGAGUAACUCAACAGCUCAGGCAGCAUCUCUGGAGAAUAUGGAUUGGCAUUGUGUCAGGCUGAGACCCUUCUUCAGUCACAUGCCCACUAAGAUGCCCCAUCUAAGCUAUUCCCAUUUGCCCGCAUUUGGCCUAUAUUCCUCCGAUCCUUUCUACCCGUCAGACUGUUUUUAAAAUGUUGUUAUUGCACCUGCCUCAAUUACCUCCUCUGGCAGCUCGUUUCAUACUCCUACCACCCUCUGUGUCAAGUAAAAGGAUGUAAGGACGAGCACCAGUGUAAUUGACCGCAGAUGUUAGUUGAAAUGCAAGGGAUUUAGGAUGGAGGGCUGGUGUAAUAGGGAUGGUGCAACACUUGAAAGCUUAGCGAUUGAUGGAGAGACCAUGCUCUAUGAAUUUCUUAGAAUUGUUCUCAGUCUACCACUGGACAAAUUAAGUUUCAAUAAACUUGCAGGAUAGUUAUAGCACAGGAGGAUGGGAGAAGAUCUCUUUCAGCAGGUUAGAUGGAAUUGAUUUUCAUCAAAAGUAUACUUUAUUCAUUGUAUAUUGUAUAUUGAACAAUAUUGUAAGAAGGGCAUGUUGUUUUUGGGUCAUACAACGUGAAAACAGACCCUUCGGCCCAACGCUCACACCGACCAACAUGUCCCAUCUACACUAGUCCUACAUGCCUGUGUUUGUCCCAUAUUCUUUUAAAUCUCUCUUACCCAUGUACCUAUCUAAAUGUUUCUUAAAUGUUGCAAUAGUCUCUGCUUCAUCUACCUCCUGCACACCCACCACCCAUCCACACACCCACCACCCUUUGUAUAAAAACGUUAUCCCUCUGGUUCCAUUUAAAUUUCUCCCACCUCCCUUUAAAUCUAUGUCCUCUGGUUCUCAAUUCCCCUACUCUGGGCACGAGACUCUGUGCAUCUACCCGAUCUGUUCCUCGCAUUAUUUUGCACACCUCUAUAAGAUUACCCCUCAUCCUCCUGCGCUCCAAGGAAUAGAGCCCUAGCCUGUUCAACCUCUCCCUGUAGCUGAGGCCCUUUGGUCCUUUCUUCUGUCGGACACCUUUCUUCUGUCUUUCCUGAUGGAUCGACGAACCCAUCGAUGAUGCAGUUGAAGCCACCAACCACAGUGAAUGGUAUUUCCAGCAUCUGCUUAUUAAAUGGACAGUACAGCACAAGAACAGGACCUUCGGCCCACAAUGUCUGUGCUGAACAUGAUGCCAAGACCAUAAUUUAUCUACCUGCACAUAAUCCAUAUCCCUCCGUUACCUGCAUAUCCAUGUGUCCAUCCAAAAGUCUCUUAAAUGCACCCCCGGCAGCGUGUUCCAGGCACUCACCACCCUCUGCGUAAAAAAAUUACCCCGCACAUCUCCUUUAAACUUUACCCCUCUUACCUUAAAACUGUGCCCUUUAGUAUUUGAAUGUUUUCCACGCUGGGAAGAAGCCUCUGACAAUCUAUGCUUCUCAUACUUUUAUAUGGUCCUAUCAGGUCUUCCCACAACCUUCAGCGUUCCAUGGAAACCAAUCCAACUCUGGCCAACCUCUCCCUGUAGCUAAUGCUCCCUAAUUCAGGGUCAUGCUGGUAAACCCUUCCCCAGGCCAAGAAUCCUAGAAUAGGCGCAAAAUGCUGGAGUAACUCAGCGAGUCAGGCUGUACCUCUGGAGAAAAUGGAUAGGUGAUGUUUCGGGGCAGAACUCAACCCGAAAACGUUGUUUAGGAUCCCAACCCGAAACGUCGUGUAUUAAUUUUCUCCAGAGAUGCUGCCAUGACUCGCUGAGUUACUCCAGCAUUUUGUGUCUAAAGGGCUUGUCCCACUUGGUGAUUUUUUCGGCAACUGCCGGCAUCAUUGACUGACCUAUCAGGUCACCGAAAAAUUUGCACCAUGAUGCGGCGGUGACGUGGUGUGAUGGCGUAUGACGCGCGGUGUUUUUUCAUGUGUCGCAAUAUUUUUUUGUCGCCGCUGGAUUUUGAAAUGUUCAAAAUCUUUUGGCGACCCUGAUAUGAUGCCGGCAGUCACCGAAAAAAUUGCCAAGUGGGACAGGCCCUUAACCAGCAUUUGUAGUUCCUUUUUAUUGCAAACAAUUCAAGUUUGUCUAAUCUCUCGGAGGUAGACAAAAAUGUUGCGGGUGAGGCAGCAUCUAUGGAACGAAGGAAAUAGGCAACGUUUCAGGCCAAAACCCUUCUUCAGACUUUCUUUAGAUUUUAGACUUUAGACUUUAGAGAUACCGUGCAGAAACAGGCCCUUCAGCCCACUGAGUCCAUGGCCGACCAGCGAUCACACCAUUCACUGGCACUAUCCUGCACCCUAGGAACAAUUUUCAAUAUUUUUACCAUAGCCAAUUCAACUACAAACCUGUAAGUCUUUGGAAUGUGGGAAGGAACCAAAGCACCCAGAGAAAACCCACAAGGUCACCUAGAGAAUGAACAAAAUCCUUACGGACAGCAUCCAUAGUCAGGAUCGAACCCGUGUCUCUGGCAACACAACUCUACCGCUGCACCACUUUCCUUAAAGAUAUGCUCCCACAUCUCUCUUCCUCCUCCCAUUCCUCCUUAUCCGCACAAAUUGGAUUGAACGGGGCUGCCACAGCCCACAUUACAACCCAGGCUGAUUGAGAACUGAUCAUAUCAAUGCAGUAGCUGAGUCCUGUGGAGAGUGUUGAGUUUAAUGAGUCUGGACAGUUUCCAUAUACUUCAUUCCAUCCAUGCAGCCCAGAA
This is a long non-coding RNA of Leucoraja erinaceus (little skate), 8587 nucleotides long. RefSeq lists it as uncharacterized. The transcript is spliced from 2 exons. The record is from RefSeq and is a predicted model, not a curated record. NCBI's taxonomy places the organism in Eukaryota, Metazoa, Chordata, Chondrichthyes, Rajiformes, Rajidae.